RNAcentral lists this long non-coding RNA (1664 nucleotides) under Lonchura striata (white-rumped munia). Its description in RNAcentral is "domestica (Bengalese finch) lncRNA (ENSLSDG00000010336.1)". Lineage: Eukaryota; Metazoa; Chordata; Aves; Passeriformes; Estrildidae. The record is from RNAcentral.
UUGCAGGUCUCUUCCAACCCGGGGAUUCUGUGAAUUUUGGGAAUCUGGGGGAAUUUUGGGAAUCCCCAGGGACUGGGGUGGUGGUGGAGCCACCAUCCCUGGUGUGUUUAAAACAAGCCUGGAUGUGGCACUGGGUGGUUGAGUUGAGGUGUUGGGACUCAAUGAUCUUGCAGGUCUCUUCCAACCCGGGGAUUCUGUGAAUUUUGGGAAUCUGGGGGAAUUUUGGGAAUCCCCAGGGACCGGGGUGGUGGUGGAGCCACCAUCCCUGGUGUGUUUAACAAAGCCUGGAUGUGCCAGGGUUUAGUUGAGGUGUUGGGGCUGGGCUGGACUCAGUUUUGCAGGUCUCUUCCAACCCAGCCAUUCGGUGAGGAUGAAUUCCAGCCCAUUUCCUGCUAGCAUGAGAAAAAUGUGGAAUAACUGCAGCCCUGGGAGGUGCUGGGCUCCUGGACCCUCACCCCACCUUUCCAGCUCCCCCUCCCAGCCCCAGGGCAGCACUCCCCGCAGCCCCUGCGUUAUUCAGCAGAUGGAAAGCAGAUUAUUCCCGACCUUUGGUGGUGCCAGGACAGGGCAGAGCUCCUGGCUCCCCGAGCCCAAGGCUGCUGCCAUUUCCUGACGAGGCAGAGGAGCAGAUGGCUCUGCCUGGAGAGCUCCUUCCCUGCGAGGUUUUAUUUAUUUCUCUUCUUCCUGCCUGCACUUCAGAUGUUUGAAUGGGCACGAGGCAAAUGCUUUUUAUUCCUCUGCUGUUCCAAGGAGUGAUCCUGCAAUCCUGCAGCUUUUUUUUUGAGCAGAGAGGGCUUUAAUUAAACUCUUCAGGGGGAAUUUGCUUGAUUGUAUCACAAUGGCAGAAGUGAAGAGGAAGAUGUGCUGAGGAUAAUGAGUGCUGAGACAGUGGAAAUGGGAGGAACAAAACUCUUCCUGACCCUCCUUUUCCCUGGAAUGUCCCAAAUAUCCCCCUGGCAGCAGGAGCUGGGCUGGGCUGGGUUGAGGAUCUGCACAGAGGUGAGGAAUCCAUGGGAAAAGCUCAGAGGUGAGGAAUCCAUGGGAAAAGCCUGCUCUGAUGGAAUCCCAGAACCCCAGAUGGUUUGGGUGGGAAGGGACCUGAAAGUUCAUCCCAUGGCAGGGACACCUCCCACUGUCCCAGCUGCUCCAGCCCCAGUGUCCAGCCUGGCCCUGGGCACUGCCAGGGAUCCAGGGGCAGCCCCAGCUGCUCUGGGAAUUCCAUCCCAGCCCCUCCCCACCCUCACAACCAACAUUCCCUCCCAAUAUCCCAUCCCAUCCUAUGGAUGGGGAAAAGGGCUCUGGAGUGGAGAAGCAAGACUUGAACCCAGCCCUGGUGCCAAUGCAGCUCCUUCCUCAUUCCCAAAAUUUCUCCUGCUUAAAACCCCCGUAAUCUAAAAUCAGCACUCUUUGGUUUGAGCUACAUGGGAAUUUUCCAGUUAAAAUGAAAAAAAAACCAAACCAAAACAAAACAAAAAAAGUAAAUCAAGUAAAUGAUGUUAAAAGAGGAAUUUUCUCUCCCCAAAAUCACUGGGAAGCCACUGCAGAACUUUAAUUUCUCUAGCAGGAGCAUGGGUUCAUAUUAAAAUGAUGCUGCUCCACUACAAAAUAUGACCAGAAGACUGUCUAUUGAUAUCAGUAUAAAUAAAAGGACACAGGGAAGGGCA